Molecule: ribosomal RNA, 480 nt
Filed under: uncultured bacterium
Lineage: Bacteria
Description: bacterial SSU rRNA
Rfam family: Bacterial small subunit ribosomal RNA
Source: RNAcentral
GAACGAACGCUGGUGGCGUGUCUUAUACAUGCAAGUCGAGCGAGGCAGCAAUGCCGAGCGGCGAACGGGUGAGUAACGCGUAAGCAAUCUGCCCCAUAUCAGGAAAUACCCGUGCCAACGCGCGGUUAAUGUCCAGGAGAGUGGCCUUCCGCAUGGAGGGUUGACUAGAGAUUUAUCGGUAUGGGAUGAGCUUGCGUCCGAUUAGCUAGUUGGCGGGCAACGGCCCACCAAGGCGACGAUCGGUAGCCGGCCUGAGAGGGUGAUCGGCCACAUUGGGACUGAGAUACGGCCCAGACUCCUACGGGAGGCAGCAGUAGGGAAUAUUGCACAAUGGGGGAAACCCUGAUGCAGCAACGCCAACCGUGUGGGAAGAAGCAUUUCGGUGUGUAAACCACUGUCAUGAGGGAAUAAGGCCCGCCUUCGGACGGGAUUGAAUGUACCUUGAGAGGAAGCACCGGCAAACUUCGUGCCAGCCGCGGC